CCCUUAGAUGUUCUUGGCCGCACGCGCGCUACACUGACGAAGUCAGCGAGCAUGUCCUACGCCGACAGGUGCGGGGAAUCUUGUCAAACUUCGUCGUGAUGGGGAUUGAUUAUUGAAAUUCUUGAUCAUCAACGAGGAAUUCCUAGUAAGCGCAAGUCAGCAGCUUGCGUUGAUUACGUCCCUGCCCUUUGUACACACCGCCCGUCGCUACUACCGAUUGAAUGGUUUAGUGAGAUCUUCGGAUUGGCGCCACUGCGGCUCAGCAAUGGGCUCGGUGGAUGCCGAAAAGUUGAUCAAACUUGAUCAUUUAGAGGAAGUAAAAGUCGUAACA
Molecule: ribosomal RNA, 331 nt
Filed under: uncultured eukaryote
Lineage: Eukaryota
Description: partial 18S ribosomal RNA
Rfam family: Eukaryotic small subunit ribosomal RNA
Source: RNAcentral